AACGCAAAUUGCACUUCUUGGUAUUCCGAGGAGUAUGCUUGCUUGAGGGUUGGUCUACAAAAAAUCGUAAAUUUUUUUUCCGAGUUUUCCGACUGCGGUUGCCUAAAAUUUAUUUUAACAAUAAGGUGUUGAUUAGAAAUGUUCUAUCUUAAAUAUUGUAAGUUCAUUAAUAAUUAUGCUAAUUGUUAUAUCGCGUUAUUCAUCUAGUAUCUUUGAUUAGGUGAAAUAAUUUAAUUUUUUUAAUCCUACAUGUACCUCAAGUUAAGCAAAGGUACCCGCUAAACUUAA
This 288-nucleotide unclassified non-coding RNA is filed under the name uncultured fungus. RNAcentral's name for it is "sequence contains ITS2". The record is from RNAcentral. Lineage: Eukaryota; Fungi.